RNAcentral lists this long non-coding RNA (440 nucleotides) under Malus domestica (apple). RNAcentral's name for it is "long non-coding RNA (MDOM_LNC012408)". The record is from RNAcentral. Lineage: Eukaryota; Viridiplantae; Streptophyta; Magnoliopsida; Rosales; Rosaceae.
AUCAUAACGCGACACGUGUCAACAUCAGAGGCCAAUCACAACACGACACGUGUUAAUGUCAUAAUGAAACUAGAAACUAUCUUCUAUAAAUAGAGAUCAUUCUUUCACAAUAUUUCCUAAUGUCAUUUGUACUAAAUCAUUCACUAGUACUCACUAAAAGAGAGCUUGAAUCUAUGUACUUGUGUAAACCCUUCACAAUUAAUGAGAACUCCUCUACUCCGUGGACGUAGCCAAUCUGGGUGAACCACAUACAUCUUGUAUUUGCUUCCCUGUCUCUAUCCAUUUGCAUACUUAUCCACAUUAGUGACCGGAGCAAUCUAGCAAAGGUCACACACUUGACACUUUCUGUUGUACCAAUGUCCUCACUGAUUUUAUGCAUGGCGCCGUCUGUGGGAACGACACUUAUUCCCUCUUCAGCUUUUUUAAGCUGGUUUCCACCA